CUAGGUCUCCCUUCUCGGCAACUCGACCCCCUUACCUCUCACUGGCCUCCUCUGUUCUCCUUCACAGCCUGGCCCUUGACUUCUUGGCCUCUUCCCCCACUUCCUUACCUGCAAUGUGUUGCCCCAACUGGGGUCUCCUUCACACCCUUCUCCGUGGUCCCAUCCCUUCUGACGCCAAACCCGAGCAUUCCUCAACGGCUCGGCCUGGUCGGCUUUGAGCAUGUUUUUGUGCCCAUGCCCCAGGGCUGGAAAAGGAGUGUGUGGUGCAAAGUGGGGGGGGGGCAAGAACCCCUCCUCGGCGGUGGCCCCUGGCUCGCCCCCCCUCCGCCCCUCCCGAGCCCGGGUUGCGGCGCUUCCUGGGCGGAUGGUUAGGACUUGCUGCAGCAGCUGCGGUUCUGCUGUGUCAUGCAAGGAGGCGGCAGCGGCGGCCGGAGCUGGAGGGGGAGGAGGGGACGAACCUGAUCUCUCCGGUAGCGAAGUGCUGGAGGCAAACACCGAGCUCCCCCAGAGCCGCCCGGGAGCAGGGAGGGCUCCGCACCCCCGGGGGGGCCCUCCCCGCGGGGCAGAUGAGGUCGAUAUCCAGACUCUCCUGAGCUGUGUUUUGGGGUGACCAAAGCGUUCCAUCCUCCUGACUUUCCAUAAAUGAUUGGAUUUAUAACCCACUCCAUACUUGAGAACAUGGGGAUUGGAAUAAGAGCUGCCACCCUCGCAGAAGCAGCAGGUUCGAGACAAAGUGAGGAAGGCGGCUAGAAGAGGCUCCUAUCCUUCUGAUAUGGCACACCACCACAAGACUAGACAGCAAAAACCUCAGUGCGCAGAAUUUAAAGAUGAAAGGAACUUGAGAGGUGACUGUAGCCAGAUGUUCUUUGAAUGUAUGGGUCUUCUAGAGCAUACCGCAUAGCCAUCCACCCUGACCUUGAAAUUUACCAAUGACAGACACUGGCUUCCUUUAUUUCACUUUUUUUUUUCCACUGAUAGAUGGGUAGAUAAAAAGCACAAAUGACAACUGCAGUCAAGUGGGCAAUGCCAAAAAAAAAAAAAAAGAUUAUUCUUAAUCUUGCCACCCUUUAUAAGAUCAACUAUUUUUGAAUUUCUGUUACUGAUCUAGGAAACCCCCACCCCCCCAAAAAAAUUAAAUAAAUGUAAAGAGGCUGAACCAUCUAGCUUAAAAUGGGGAAUGUAAAGAGGCUGAACCAUUUAGCUUAAAGAUACUUUGGAAAUUGUAUUGGUUCACGGGGUCCUUCACACCAUGAGAGUCAGACCCUGAGGAGGAGAAUUGUGUAAAGAAUGUGUAAGUCUCAAUACCUCAGUAUUUACCAAGUCUCUUCCUAAUUCAUCUCCUUUUGUCACACCUGUACAGCAAAAGAAAAUCUGUGAGACUAUCUUAUCCAGGGAUCUUUCCCACAUCUACAAAUACUAUUGGGUUGUCGGAAAAGUCAGGACGCAUUUUUACAACGAAAAACAUAGAAAAAAAUACAUCAUGACUUUUCCGACAGCCUAAUAUCUAGGUUGAACAAUGUGUUCCCAAGUUACCUAAAUUGUGCAUCUGACGGUAUUCCUUUCAAAGGAAAUUGGAGAGUGCAGCAAUAUUCUGAAAUGACCAGAUGUGACAACAUGAAAAACAAAAAUAACAAAAGAAAACCCUUCAAAGAGUGUGCCUUGCAGAAACAAUUAGAUGUCCUUUUCACCUUUGCUAUAUGGGAGAUUCUUCUCAAAUAAAAAUAGUUUACAAUAAAAGUGUUGUU
This is a long non-coding RNA of Hipposideros armiger (great roundleaf bat), 1745 nucleotides long. RefSeq lists it as uncharacterized. The record is from RefSeq and is a predicted model, not a curated record. The transcript is spliced from 3 exons. Lineage: Eukaryota; Metazoa; Chordata; Mammalia; Chiroptera; Hipposideridae.